RNAcentral lists this ribosomal RNA (433 nucleotides) under uncultured bacterium. RNAcentral's name for it is "partial 16S ribosomal RNA". It matches the Rfam family "Bacterial small subunit ribosomal RNA", at positions 29 to 507 of the family's 1533-position model. The record is from RNAcentral.
AACGAACGCUGGCGGCAUGCCUAACACAUGCAAGUCGAACGAAGGCUUCGGCCUUAGUGGCGCACGGGUGCGUAACGCGUGGGAAUCUGCCCUUUGGUUCGGAAUAACAGCUGGAAACGGCUGCUAAUACCGGAUGAUGACGAAAGUCCAAAGAUUUAUCGCCAGAGGAUGAGCCCGCGUUGGAUUAGGUAGUUGGUGGGGUAAAGGCCUACCAAGCCGACGAUCCAUAGCUGGUCUGAGAGGAUGAUCAGCCACACUGGGACUGAGACACGGCCCAGACUCCUACGGGAGGCAGCAGUGGGGAAUAUUGGACAAUGGGCGCAAGCCUGAUCCAGCAAUGCCGCGUGAGCGAUGAAGGCCCUAGGGUUGUAAAGCUCUUUUACCCGGGAAGAUAAUGACUGUACCGGGAGAAUAAGCCCCGGCUAACUCCGUG